Molecule: ribosomal RNA, 576 nt
Filed under: Usnea trachycarpa
Lineage: Eukaryota; Fungi; Ascomycota; Lecanoromycetes; Lecanorales; Parmeliaceae
Description: bacterial SSU rRNA
Rfam family: Bacterial small subunit ribosomal RNA
Source: RNAcentral
GCACUUGGAGAUGUAUAGGGAUUACCUACUUGCUUCAUGAAAACUGAUGCAAGAUCGAUAUGUCGUAUAAAGUUCUAGUCAGUACUAUGAUAAUGACAUUGUCUGGCUAUGUGUCUUGACCAAAUUACGUGCCAGCAGUCGCGGUAAUACGUAGAAGACUAGUGUUAUUCAUGUUUAAUCGGUUUAAAGGGUACCUAGACGGCAGAUCAAGCCUUCAGUAAAUAAAUAAAAAGGGACUAAUUUAGCUAGAGUUACUUAUGAGGAAGCUAUAAAGUACUGCUGGUGUAGAGAUGAAAUUCUGUCAUACCUCUUUUCGAUAGGAAAACGACGGCACAGGUAAAGGCGAAGGCGUCUUCUUAUGGGAUAACUGACGUUGAGGGACGAAGGCUUGGGUAGCGAACAGGAUGUGCGACCUGCUAAGCUUUAGUAAGAACUGUGGUACAUUUGGCUGCUAUGCCAUGAUCCGCAAGCAAGUACUAUGAAUGAAUAAAAUAAAUAUGCCUUGCUAAGCAUCUAGAUAUUCUACUUCGUUACUUGAAGCGAGAGGGAAUACGGCUUGAUACCACAUUGUAUUUC